This is a long non-coding RNA of Lycium barbarum (goji berry), 1082 nucleotides long. RefSeq lists it as uncharacterized. NCBI's taxonomy places the organism in Eukaryota, Viridiplantae, Streptophyta, Magnoliopsida, Solanales, Solanaceae. The record is from RefSeq and is a predicted model, not a curated record. The transcript is spliced from 2 exons.
CCAUUAAACGGACCGACCCAGCCAGUCAAGCGUAUCAGAUCAAAAAGAGGUAAUACCCUUACCACAUUCAUUUUCCUCACGCCAAACAUGACCUAAACUCUCCCUCUCUCCUCCUCUUUCCCUUUUCCCCUAAACCCUAGGCGCCAACACGCAUAUGUUUCUCUCUUCCAGGCAAGAAUGGCAAAAACUCAAAGCUCACAGAGUUUUCUCAGACUUUGUACAGCUAAUAACGUGAAACAAUUAAUGUUUCAACCUUGUUUCACUCAAACUCAUCCAAACACAGCGGUGAUCAUCCCCUCUUUUACUUUUCCUUUUAUUUUUUCUGAAUCAAAACACGAUUUUCUUUAUUGUAUUGUUAUAUUGUGACCGCAUGAACUCGUUUUCAUUGGUUCAUAAGGGAUUGGCUCAGAUCGACCUAAAAUGGGUCAAAUCUGACCGUAUACGUUUGUUGUCUUUAGAUCCUGAUCGUUGAUUUCAUGUAUUGAAGGUUAAUUUCUGGAAAAAAUCAUCUUGUACGACAUCGACAUUUUAGGUCUUUGAAUGAAUUUUGGGAUUCUAUGAAUAGAACCCUAACCCUCACCAUUAAAACAAGUUUCCACAACCCAAAAGACUGGAAUUUUAAGUUCAACUUGAAAUUUAAGCUGAAUAGUAUAAUUUUAGACUUAAACUUUUUAAGGGUUGAGUCUCUCAUUUUCUAAAUUUUGUUUACUUUAUCUGUGUGGCUGAGUUUGGGAUUGGAAGCAUCAAAAGCUCCAAAUUCAUUUCUUGACACAGGCUGCACGCAAAAAGACAUGGACACUGGGGCGGAGUCAUAUGCCAACCUAUUGGGCCGAGGCCCAACAAGCAAUUCUUUCGUGUCAUGAUCAAGCCCAUCAAAGAAUAUGGAAGCUAUUAUAUAUUAAACGCGUAGAAGGCCUAGCCAUGGGUGAAAAUGGCCAACUAGGGGCUUGGUAUGCCUCUAGCCUUCCCUUCUCCAUUCAUUUUAUUUUCCGUUUGUUUCUUUAUUUGUGCAAUUCUUGUGUAUUUGUAUUUUGUAAAACUUGUAAAAAAACUCUAUUAUAGUGGAAUCUUUAUGUUUUGAA